This 253-nucleotide ribosomal RNA is filed under the name uncultured bacterium. RNAcentral's name for it is "partial 16S ribosomal RNA". It matches the Rfam family "Bacterial small subunit ribosomal RNA", at positions 524 to 776 of the family's 1533-position model. The record is from RNAcentral.
UACAGAGGGUGCGAGCGUUAAUCGGAAUUACUGGGCGUAAAGCGCACGUAGGCGGCUUGGUAUGUCGGGUGUGAAAUCCCCGGGCUCAACCUGGGAACUGCAUUUGUGACUGCAUCGCUAGAGUACGGCAGAGGGGGAUGGAAUUCCGCGUGUAGCAGUGAAAUGCGUAGAUAUGCGGAGGAACACCGAUGGCGAAGGCAAUCCCCUGGGCCUGUACUGACGCUCAUGCACGAAAGCGUGGGGAGCAAACAGG